This 82-nucleotide transfer RNA is filed under the name Malassezia globosa. RNAcentral's name for it is "tRNA-Arg". It matches the Rfam family "tRNA". Rfam says of the family: Transfer RNA (tRNA) molecules are approximately 80 nucleotides in length. Their secondary structure includes four short double-helical elements and three loops (D, anti-codon, and T loops). Lineage: Eukaryota; Fungi; Basidiomycota; Malasseziomycetes; Malasseziales; Malasseziaceae. The record is from RNAcentral. RNAcentral also lists the same sequence under 1 other name.
GGCCCGAUAGCUCAGUGGUAUGAGUGGCGCUUUCCGGUCCGGAAUAUGGCGCAGGUCCCGGGUUCGACCCCCGGUCGGGUCU